GCUGGGCAUGGUGGUGCUUGCCUGUAAUCCCAGCUACUCAGGAGGCUGAGGCAGGAGAAUCACUUGAACCCAGGAGGUGGAGGCUACAGUGAGCUGAGAUCACGCCACUGCACUCCAGCCUGGGCAACAGAGUGAGACUCUGUCUCAA
This is an unclassified non-coding RNA of Pongo abelii (Sumatran orangutan), 148 nucleotides long. It matches the Rfam family "Metazoan signal recognition particle RNA". From Rfam's summary of the family: The signal recognition particle (SRP) is a universally conserved ribonucleoprotein. It is involved in the co-translational targeting of proteins to membranes. The record is from Ensembl. NCBI's taxonomy places the organism in Eukaryota, Metazoa, Chordata, Mammalia, Primates, Hominidae.